GUGCUCGCUUCGGCAGCACAUAUACUAAAAUUGGAACGAUACAGAGAAGAUUAGCAUGGCCCCUGCGCAAGGAUGAAAAUAAUUUGUCUAGGUGUAUUUUUCU
RNAcentral lists this small nuclear RNA (103 nucleotides) under Ochotona princeps (American pika). The record is from RNAcentral. Lineage: Eukaryota; Metazoa; Chordata; Mammalia; Lagomorpha; Ochotonidae.